GGUUAAGCGACUAAGCGUACACGGUGGAUGCCCUGGCAGUCAGAGGCGAUGAAGGACGUGCUAAUCUGCGAUAAGCGUCGGUAAGGUGAUAUGAACCGUUAUAACCGGCGAUUUCCGAAUGGGGAAACCCAGUGUGUUUCGACACACUAUCAUUAACUGAAUCCAUAGGUUAAUGAGGCGAACCGGGGGAACUGAAACAUCUAAGUACCCCGAGGAAAAGAAAUCAACCGAGAUUCCCCCAGUAGCGGCGAGCGAACGGGGAGCAGCCCAGAGCCUGAAUCAGUGUGUGUGUUAGUGGAAGCGUCUGGAAAGGCGCGCGAUACAGGGUGACAGCCCCGUACACAAAAAUGCACAUGCUGUGAGCUCGAUGAGUAGGGCGGGACACGUGGUAUCCUGUCUGAAUAUGGGGGGACCAUCCUCCAAGGCUAAAUACUCCUGACUGACCGAUAGUGAACCAGUACCGUGAGGGAAAGGCGAAAAGAACCCCGGCGAGGGG
RNAcentral lists this ribosomal RNA (496 nucleotides) under Escherichia coli. RNAcentral describes it as "partial 23S ribosomal RNA". It matches the Rfam family "Bacterial large subunit ribosomal RNA", at positions 1 to 536 of the family's 2925-position model. The record is from RNAcentral. Lineage: Bacteria; Pseudomonadati; Pseudomonadota; Gammaproteobacteria; Enterobacterales; Enterobacteriaceae. RNAcentral also lists the same sequence under 1 other name.